Molecule: ribosomal RNA, 502 nt
Filed under: uncultured Glomeromycotina
Lineage: Eukaryota; Fungi; Glomeromycota
Description: partial small subunit ribosomal RNA
Rfam family: Eukaryotic small subunit ribosomal RNA
Source: RNAcentral
CCAAUAGCGUAUAUUAAAGUUGUUGCAGUUAAAAAGCUCGUAGUUGAACUUCGGGGUUUGCUCAUUGGUCAGGCUUAAUUGUCUGUACUGGUGGGAUAAAUCUCUACCUUCUGAGGAACUUUCAUGCCAUUUAUUUGGUGUGAUGGGAAAUCAGGACUGUUACUUUGAAAAAAUUAGAGUGUUUAAAGCAGACUAACGUCUGAAUACAUUAGCAUGGAAUAAUGAAAUAGGACGGAUUGAUUCUAUUUCGUUGGUUUCUAGGAUCACCGUAAUGAUUAAUAGGGAUAGUUGGGGGCAUUAGUAUUCAAUUGUCAGAGGUGAAAUUCUUGGAUUUAUUGAAGACUAACUACUGCGAAAGCAUUUGCCAAGGAUGUUUUCAUUAAUCAAGAACGAAAGUUAGGGGAUCGAAGACGAUCAGAUACCGUCGUAGUCUUAACCAUAAACUAUGCCGACUAGGGAUCGGACGAAGUUAAUUUUAUAAUGACGCGUUCGGCACCUUACG